AAAAAAUGAUGAGACCUUUAUUUUAAUAUCAAAGCCUUUCGGGUCUGAUGCAUCCGUGAUGAAUACUGUGAGACUGAUUUU
This 81-nucleotide small nucleolar RNA is filed under the name Plasmodium ovale (malaria parasite P. ovale). RNAcentral's name for it is "small nucleolar RNA snoR29". It matches the Rfam family "small nucleolar RNA snoR29". The record is from Rfam by way of RNAcentral. RNAcentral also lists the same sequence under 1 other name. Lineage: Eukaryota; Apicomplexa; Aconoidasida; Haemosporida; Plasmodiidae.